GACGAACGCUGGCGGCGUGCCUAAUACAUGCAAGUCGAACGCUGAAGGAGGAGCUUGCUUCUCUGGAUGAGUUGCGAACGGGUGAGUAACGCGUAGGUAACCUGCCUGGUAGCGGGGGAUAACUAUUGGAAACGAUAGCUAAUACCGCAUAAGAGUAGAUGUUGCAUGACAUUUGCUUAAAAGGUGCAAUUGCAUCACUACCAGAUGGACCUGCGUUGUAUUAGCUAGUUGGUGGGGUAACGGCUUACCAAGGCGACGAUACAUAGCCGACCUGAGAGGGUGAGCGGCCACACUGGGACUGAGACACGGCCCAGACUCCUACGGGAGGCAGCAGUAGGGAAUCUUCGGCAAUGGACGGAAGUCUGACCGAGCAACGCCGCGUGAGUGAAGAAGGUUUUCGGAUCGUAAAGCUCUGUUGUAAGAGAAGAACGAGUGUGAGAGUGGAAAGUUCACACUGUGACGGUAUCUGACCAGAAAGGGACGGCUAACUACGUG
RNAcentral lists this ribosomal RNA (495 nucleotides) under uncultured bacterium. Its description in RNAcentral is "partial 16S ribosomal RNA". It matches the Rfam family "Bacterial small subunit ribosomal RNA", at positions 28 to 507 of the family's 1533-position model. The record is from RNAcentral.